RNAcentral lists this unclassified non-coding RNA (284 nucleotides) under fungal sp. RNAcentral's name for it is "partial internal transcribed spacer region". The stretch from base 1 to 46 matches the Rfam family "Eukaryotic small subunit ribosomal RNA", at positions 1786 to 1831 of the family's 1831-position model. Lineage: Eukaryota; Fungi. The record is from RNAcentral.
AAGUCGUAACAAGGUAACCGUAGGUGAACCUGCGGUUGGAUCAUUAUUAAAAACUAUGUGUUUGCUUUAGCAAAUGCAUUAAAAGAGUAUUAAACGCAAGUUUAAUCUCUUUAACACCAACCUUGUGAAUUUGUUAUCGUCUUUGGGUUAUUAGUAGUACUUUAAGUAGUACUAUUAUAGCCCUACUCAUUAUAAACAUUUUCUUUUACUAAUUAAAUCGAGUUUUAAGAGAACUCUAAAUCAAAUGAAAAAAAAAACUUUUGACAACGGAUCUCUUGGCUCUC